Molecule: ribosomal RNA, 489 nt
Filed under: uncultured bacterium
Lineage: Bacteria
Description: partial 16S ribosomal RNA
Rfam family: Bacterial small subunit ribosomal RNA
Source: RNAcentral
AUUGAACGCUGGCGGCAGGCCUAACACAUGCAAGUCGAACGGUAACAGGAAGAAGCUUGCUUCUUUGCUGACGAGUGGCGGACGGGUGAGUAAUGUCUGGGAAACUGCCUGAUGGAGGGGGAUAACUACUGGAAACGGUAGCUAAUACCGCAUAACGUCGCAAGACCAAAGAGGGGGACCUUCGGGCCUCUUGCCAUCGGAUGUGCCCAGAUGGGAUUAGCUAGUAGGUGGGUAACGGCUCACCUAGGCGACGAUCCCUAGCUGGUCUGAGAGGAUGACCAGCCACACUGGAACUGAGACACGGUCCAGACUCCUACGGGAGGCAGCAGUGGGGAAUAUUGCACAAUGGGCGCAAGCCUGAUGCAGCCAUGCCGCGUGUAUGAAGAAGGCCUUCGGGUUGUAAAGUACUUUCAGCGGGGAGGAAGGGAGUAAAGUUAAUACCUCUGCUCAUUGACGUUACCCGCAGAAGAAGCACCGGCUAACUCCGUG